GGGAAGGUGUAGCAUCCAAGGCUCACAUUCUCUAUCCUUUACACACCUGUGCACCCUUCUGAAGCGGAGAGUUAUUAGGCAUUAGCCGAGCGCCUCCCUUCGGUUAUUAUAUCAAACUCAAACUACGUUUACUAGAAUGUAUACCGUCUUGUUGUAACGACAAGUACAAUCCAAUA
This 176-nucleotide unclassified non-coding RNA is filed under the name uncultured Geminibasidium. Its description in RNAcentral is "sequence contains ITS1". The record is from RNAcentral. Lineage: Eukaryota; Fungi; Basidiomycota; Geminibasidiomycetes; Geminibasidiales; Geminibasidiaceae.